Molecule: long non-coding RNA, 911 nt
Filed under: Homo sapiens (human)
Lineage: Eukaryota; Metazoa; Chordata; Mammalia; Primates; Hominidae
Description: HSALNT0290789
Source: RNAcentral
GGUGCCAGAGUUCGUAUAUGACUCCAGUCCUGGCGCUGGAUGCUGCUGCUGUUCCAGCUUCCUAGGUGUGGAAACUGAAGGACCAAGAGAUUAAACAGUGGUGCAAAAGUGGUAAGAAUUCAGCAUUCUCCUCGACAAGUGGACGAGCAUCUACUGUGCUUUCACAGCGGCUAUCACUAUUGCCAGCAGCAAGACUGUCAGCUCGGCGCCCUCGUCUGGUUGGAUGGGAAACUGCAGUUGCUAAGGGAGCUGGGAAUCUCUGAGGACAAAUGGGAAUUCUCACUGAUUUCUAGGACUACCCUGGGGCAGGCACCCUGCACAGCAAUACACACUGAACAAUGUCGAGUUUCUGCUGAAUAGACUUCCUACGUUGCUCUGGAAUUCGAAGUUGGCCUAACUGAGGUCUCCAGUUACAGAAAACACUGGCUCUGGAGCUGACACUGCCCUCCUAAGUUCUGAUCUUGCUCCUGUUCAACUGGAACUUGAUGGAUCCCAUGUGGUUUCCCCCAUCCUGACGCUGUGGCUCAGACACUCUCCCUAAGCUGGUCCUUCCCUCCAAAUCCUGCCUUAAACACACUCAGAAGGUAGAAAACACUUCAGCAGCAAAGUCCUCUUCCCAAGCCAACAGUUGUGUUCUUCCAAUCACAUGAUCUUACCUUUUCAAUAAAAGGCAAAACAAACCAAUUUCCAACAUAGCAUUACAGCCUUUAAAACCAUUCACUUCUCAUAGUGAUUCACAGAGAACAAGAGAUUAAAGUGCUGGAUUUUAAAUGUCUAAAGUUGCCUUCAGGGCUACAAAAAGCCCUGCCGUGUGUGUUUUUCCUUCAUGGUGUUGAGGGGAAGGAAAGAUAGGGAAGGGCAGUGGGGAGAAACCCUAAAAUUUUCAAUCAGAAACUGGAAAUUGUAAAAGU